CUAGUACUCCCUCCAUUCGGAAUUACUUGUCACAAAAAUGGAUGUGUCUACAACUAAAAUACAUCUAGAUACAUUCAUUUCUUGGACGAGUAAUUCCGAACGGAGGGAGUAUGUA
Triticum urartu is the source of this 115-nucleotide non-coding RNA. The record is from Rfam. Lineage: Eukaryota; Viridiplantae; Streptophyta; Magnoliopsida; Poales; Poaceae.